UGAGUAAGCCAGAUGAUCGCGGGUGCAGUGCCGAAAGGCCGCACACGAGGAAAGUCCGGGCUCCACAGGGCGAAGGUGCCGGGUAAUUCCCGGUGAAGGCGACUUCAAGGAAAGUGCAACAGAGAGAUACCGCAUACCAGAUACUAGAAACCAGAUACCAGAUACCAGAAUAUCAGAAACGCUUCGAAGCAUUUCUAGUCUCUAGUUUCUAGUUUCUAGUAUCUGGUAUGUAAGGGUGGAAAGGUGAGGUAAGAGCUCACCAGCGGCAUGGCGACUUGCCGGUCUAUGUAAACCCCACCUGGAGCAACACCGCAGAGGGACAUUUUGGCGGCCCGCCAGUCCCGGGUAGGUGGCUUGAGCAUUACAGAAAUGUAUUGCCUAGACAGAUGAUCAUCAAAUACAGAACCCGGCUUAUACGACUUACUCAUAUU
This 431-nucleotide RNase P RNA is filed under the name Anaerobacterium chartisolvens. RNAcentral describes it as "Bacterial RNase P class A". It matches the Rfam family "Bacterial RNase P class A". Rfam says of the family: Ribonuclease P (RNase P) is a ubiquitous endoribonuclease, found in archaea, bacteria and eukarya as well as chloroplasts and mitochondria. Its best characterised activity is the generation of mature 5'-ends of tRNAs by cleaving the 5'-leader elements of precursor-tRNAs. Cellular RNase Ps are ribonucleoproteins. The record is from Rfam by way of RNAcentral. Lineage: Bacteria; Bacillati; Bacillota; Clostridia; Eubacteriales; Oscillospiraceae.